Molecule: non-coding RNA, 127 nt
Organism: Paenibacillus sp. DMB20
Lineage: Bacteria; Bacillati; Bacillota; Bacilli; Caryophanales; Paenibacillaceae
Source: Rfam
GAGGCGGUAUCCCUUAAGCGGAACUGCACUCUUGCGAACAGGAUCAAUGCUUUAAGGGACACCUUCAUAACUGCUAUUGCCGGUUACGUUGGAUUCUGCUCUGAGCCGAAAGGACCGAGACAGAAGG